Molecule: ribosomal RNA, 1527 nt
Filed under: Salmonella enterica
Lineage: Bacteria; Pseudomonadati; Pseudomonadota; Gammaproteobacteria; Enterobacterales; Enterobacteriaceae
Description: partial 23S ribosomal RNA
Rfam family: Bacterial large subunit ribosomal RNA
Source: RNAcentral
AAUGCUGACAUAAGUAACGAUAAAGCGGGUGAAAAGCCCGCUCGCCGGAAGACCAAGGGUUCCUGUCCAACGUUAAUCGGGGCAGGGUGAGUCGACCCCUAAGGCGAGGCCGAAAGGCGUAGUCGAUGGGAAACGGGUUAAUAUUCCCGUACUUGGUGUUACUGCGAAGGGGGGACGGAGAAGGCUAUGUUGGCCGGGCGACGGUUGUCCCGGUUUAAGCGUGUAGGUGUGUGUUCCAGGUAAAUCCGGUUCACUUUAACACUGAGGCGUGACGACGAGGCACUACGGUGCUGAAGCAACAAAUGCCCUGCUUCCAGGAAAAGCCUCUAAGCAUCAGGUAACAUCAAAUCGUACCCCAAACCGACACAGGUGGUCAGGUAGAGAAUACCAAGGCGCUUGAGAGAACUCGGGUGAAGGAACUAGGCAAAAUGGUGCCGUAACUUCGGGAGAAGGCACGCUGACACGUAGGUGAAGUGAUUUACUCAUGGAGCUGAAGUCAGUCGAAGAUACCAGCUGGCUGCAACUGUUUAUUAAAAACACAGCACUGUGCAAACACGAAAGUGGACGUAUACGGUGUGACGCCUGCCCGGUGCCGGAAGGUUAAUUGAUGGGGUCAGCGCAAGCGAAGCUCCUGAUCGAAGCCCCGGUAAACGGCGGCCGUAACUAUAACGGUCCUAAGGUAGCGAAAUUCCUUGUCGGGUAAGUUCCGACCUGCACGAAUGGCGUAAUGAUGGCCAGGCUGUCUCCACCCGAGACUCAGUGAAAUUGAACUCGCUGUGAAGAUGCAGUGUACCCGCGGCAAGACGGAAAGACCCCGUGAACCUUUACUAUAGCUUGACACUGAACAUUGAGCCUUGAUGUGUAGGAUAGGUGGGAGGCUUUGAAGUGUGGACGCCAGUCUGCAUGGAGCCGACCUUGAAAUACCACCCUUUAAUGUUUGAUGUUCUAACGUGGACCCGUUACCCGGGUUGCGGACAGUGUCUGGUGGGUAGUUUGACUGGGGCGGUCUCCUCCUAAAGAGUAACGGAGGAGCACGAAGGUUGGCUAAUCCUGGUCGGACAUCAGGAGGUUAGUGCAAUGGCAUAAGCCAGCUUGACUGCGAGCGUGACGGCGCGAGCAGGUGCGAAAGCAGGUCAUAGUGAUCCGGUGGUUCUGAAUGGAAGGGCCAUCGCUCAACGGAUAAAAGGUACUCCGGGGAUAACAGGCUGAUACCGCCCAAGAGUUCAUAUCGACGGCGGUGUUUGGCACCUCGAUGUCGGCUCAUCACAUCCUGGGGCUGAAGUAGGUCCCAAGGGUAUGGCUGUUCGCCAUUUAAAGUGGUACGCGAGCUGGGUUUAGAACGUCGUGAGACAGUUCGGUCCCUAUCUGCCGUGGGCGCUGGAGAACUGAGGGGGGCUGCUCCUAGUACGAGAGGACCGGAGUGGACGCAUCACUGGUGUUCGGGUUGUCAUGCCAAUGGCACUGCCCGGUAGCUAAAUGCGGAAGAGAUAAGUGCUGAAAGCAUCUAAGCACGAAACUUGCCCCGAG